RNAcentral lists this long non-coding RNA (810 nucleotides) under Sinocyclocheilus anshuiensis. RNAcentral's name for it is "lncRNA (ENSSANG00000032227.1)". Lineage: Eukaryota; Metazoa; Chordata; Actinopteri; Cypriniformes; Cyprinidae. The record is from RNAcentral.
UGAAAUUAUAGAUUUGGUGAGGAAUCAGGCUAAGUCUCAAUCUGGCUGAGUUUUUUUUUCUUUUACUCAGUUAAAAUUAAAGUGCAAUGCGUACAUGCGUGCGUGUGUGCGCGUGAGUGUGUGUGUGUGUUUAAAACCUCAGAUGACUCAUCUAAUUUUCUACAAAAUAAUCUGGUAAAGUUGGGGAUGUACUUCAUCUAAUUUGAUUUAUCUUGAGUUUGAUUUAUCUAUAAGUGGCAUGUAAAUGACCAUGGCUGAUGCACAAUUUUUGCUGUGUCUUUCAGCGGUGGUUAAUAACAAAGAGAGUGUUUGGAGUGAAAGACCUCCAGAUGUUGCUGACCAGGACAGCCUAGGGUCCACAAAUGAAGGUGACAUAGAGUACACAGAGGUGAUUCAUCCUCAACCAGUAGAUCCUACACGAAUUCCUGUAAGAAAAGGCACAGAUACUGUGUACAGUGAGCUUCAGACCACUCAAGGCCUGUUAGAGUAUGCUGACCUCAACCAUGAUCUUCCUGAACCAGUGAACUAACAGACGUCUGUCACCUCAAGCAUCUGUCAUCUCCCUCUGGAAUACUGUUGCCUAUGUGCCAUCAAUCUUCUGUGUCCUCCACUGACAUUCUCCUAAAACAACAUUUAAUCAUUUAUUUCCCAUUCCUCUUAUGUGAUUGAUUGUUUGUCCUAUUUGUCACAAUGCUAUACUAUUGUGUGUAGAGGCGGUACUAAAAACCACAUGCUUUUCACAAAGUUGUUUUGAGUUAUCUUUUUUAAUAAAGUGAAAUUAUUUAUUUGACUUUGUGUAAAAUACCUUGU